GCCAAAGGGGGGGGGACUACACAUGCAAGUCGAACGGCAGCACAGAAGAGCUUGCUCUUUGGGUGGCGAGUGGCGGACGGGUGAGUAAUGUCUGGGAAACUGCCCGAUGGAGGGGGAUAACUACUGGAAACGGUAGCUAAUACCGCAUAACGUCGCAAGACCAAAGUGGGGGACCUUCGGGCCUCACACCAUCGGAUGUGCCCAGAUGGGAUUAGCUAGUAGGUGGGGUAAUGGCUCACCUAGGCGACGAUCCCUAGCUGGUCUGAGAGGAUGACCAGCCACACUGGAACUGAGACACGGUCCAGACUCCUACGGGAGGCAGCAGUGGGGAAUAUUGCACAAUGGGCGCAAGCCUGAUGCAGCCAUGCCGCGUGUAUGAAGAAGGCCUUCGGGUUGUAAAGUACUUUCAGCGGGGAGGAAGGCGGUGAGGUUAAUAACCUCGCCGAUUGACGUUACCCGCAGAAGAAGCACCGGCUAACUCCGUGCCAGCAGCCGCGGUAAUACGGAGGGUGCAAGCGUUAAUCGGAAUUACUGGGCGUAAAGCGCACGCAGGCGGUCUGUUAAGUCAGAUGUGAAAUCCCCGGGCUUAACCUGGGAACUGCAUUUGAAACUGGCAGGCUUGAGUCUCGUAGAGGGGGGUAGAAUUCCAGGUGUAGCGGUGAAAUGCGUAGAGAUCUGGAGGAAUACCGGUGGCGAAGGCGGCCCCCUGGACGAAGACUGACGCUCAGGUGCGAAAGCGUGGGGAGCAAACAGGAUUAGAUACCCUAGGUAGUCCAG
This 777-nucleotide ribosomal RNA is filed under the name Pantoea dispersa. RNAcentral's name for it is "bacterial SSU rRNA". It matches the Rfam family "Bacterial small subunit ribosomal RNA", at positions 35 to 798 of the family's 1533-position model. Lineage: Bacteria; Pseudomonadati; Pseudomonadota; Gammaproteobacteria; Enterobacterales; Erwiniaceae. The record is from RNAcentral.